RNAcentral lists this ribosomal RNA (253 nucleotides) under uncultured bacterium. RNAcentral describes it as "partial 16S ribosomal RNA". It matches the Rfam family "Bacterial small subunit ribosomal RNA", at positions 524 to 776 of the family's 1533-position model. The record is from RNAcentral.
UACAGAGGUCUCAAGCGUUGUUCGGAAUUACUGGGCGUAAAGCGUGCGUAGGCGGCGGGGUUAGUCGGGUGUGAAAUCUCAGGGCUUAACCCUGAAAUUGCAUUCGAUACUGCCUCGUUUGAGAACUGAAGAGGAGGUUGGAAUUUACGGUGUAGCAGUGAAAUGCGUAGAUAUCGUAAGGAAGGCCGGUGGCGAAAGCGAACCUCUGGGGAGCUUCUGACGCUGUGGCACGAAGGCUAGGGGAGCAAACGGG